CAUGACUCACACUCUAAUAUGGAUAAACUAGACAAACUAGGUACCAUCUUCUGAAGCUUGGAUAAGCUUGGAUGUCCUAAACGUCUGUGAAUUAGGUACGGAAGAUCUGUAACUAGACAUGCCUUGGGGAUUUUAGCGAGGUAAGGUAGUAAAGGCCUUCAGAUUCAAGUCUUGUUCCAAUCGUCUGCCCCGUACUGCGGUCCUGCAUAAUAAAGGAAUCAUCAAUAACAAAUGCUAGAUUAAAAGGACAGUCAGGGACAUAGAGAACGGAAUCUAGAGUGACACGGGGUAGGGGAGUUGCUUGUCCAACUUCUUUUGCUUUGGUUUGAAACUCAUUGGCUAAAGUAACAGUAGGAAGAGACCAUUAAUACGCAAUAUUUGACAAAAGUGAUUUAUUACCAGAGACUUGAUCAGAAGCGGCUGAGUCCAUAACCCAUUGUCCAAGAGUACUAGACUGGGAUACAAGAACAGAUGAGUCAAGUGUAUGUGAUGAGCUCACUAGGUGACUUGGUGCUGCAGCAAGGCAAAGUAAUCGAGAGAAUAGUUCAUCAAGCGGGGACAGCCGGACUAGCCAAAAUCUGGUCACGUACUGAAUCAAUGUCAUCAGGGAGUCCAGCUAGUGUAAGAACUAGAAACAUCUUCUGUAGUGAAACUGGCAUCAGCGUCUCAAAUUCUUCCAUGACUGCCUGUACUUGUCCCAAGUAAGUAGACAUAUCUAAUUCCUGUUUCUUCAAGCUUGUCAUUCGCGAUAUUACAUCAUAGAAACGAGACAUGUCAUUACUGUAUAAAUUACGAGCCUUUUCCCAAACUAAAUAACAUGUCUGGAAUGGACGAAACAAGGGCAUCAACUUGGAAUCAACAAAUCGCAUUUUCCCACUGUGUUUUGGCCUUUUCAUCACCUUCGAUAGCCCUUUUCACUACAACUCGACAGACGAAGCCCAAGCUAGGUAGUUUGAACCUCCCAUUAAAGGUUUUGAGGNNNNNNNNNNNNNNNNNNNNNNNNNNNNNNNNNNNNNNNNNNNNNNNNNNNUUUUAAAGGUUCUGAGGUAAUCAUAACACCGGAACUGCUAGAACCCGAGUUUCUAGACCCGAAAGCAUCGAGUCUCAAAGACAUCGUUGGAUUAUCACCAAAUAAUCAGAAAGAAUCAACUGAAAACUCGCUGAAACAUAUGAAGGAAACAAUGUAGCUGCCGGGAAAUUACUGUAGUUACAGGAGAAAAUUCAAGGUUGUCGGAAUUGAAAAAUAACAUUAUGGGUAGGCUCGGAAUUUGAGGGCGAUCAAACUGUCCUGAAGAAAUUUUUGAAAUUCUGGCCGGAAGGUGGCUCACACGUCCGCGUGUGGGACAGACGCGCCACCGUCGGCACAACUCCGGCAGGCGCAUGGGGGCCUCUUUUCCGGUGGUUUUUUUUGGGGUUGGUCGGAUUUCUCUUCCGAACCUUGUGGUGGUCUCGGAUUUUGCACAAUCCUAAUAAUUAGUGACUUUGACGCGAUUAGCCACUUAGGUCACCUGAAAAUUGCACGAUGACUUAGUUAUUCCUUCCCGGAUGUUGUUGGAAUGACGCACAACGAUGAAUUUCUCACGGUUGCUCUGAUACCAUGUGAG
Molecule: long non-coding RNA, 1604 nt
Filed under: Nicotiana benthamiana
Lineage: Eukaryota; Viridiplantae; Streptophyta; Magnoliopsida; Solanales; Solanaceae
Description: long non-coding RNA (NBEN_LNC017076)
Source: RNAcentral